UGUCCUUAGUACGAGAGGACCGGGAUGGACAUACCUCUGGUGUACCAGUUGUCGUGCCAACGGCAUAGCUGGGUAGCUAUGUGUGGACGGGAUAAGUGCUGAAAGCAUCUAAGCAUGAAGCCCCCCUCAAGAUGAGAUUUCCCAACUUCGGUUAUAAGAUCCCUCAAAGAUGAUGAGGUUAAUAGGUUCGAGGUGGAAGCAUGGUGACAUGUGGAGCUGACGAAUACUAA
This 230-nucleotide ribosomal RNA is filed under the name Staphylococcus argenteus. Its description in RNAcentral is "partial 23S ribosomal RNA". It matches the Rfam family "Bacterial large subunit ribosomal RNA", at positions 2673 to 2904 of the family's 2925-position model. The record is from RNAcentral. Lineage: Bacteria; Bacillati; Bacillota; Bacilli; Caryophanales; Staphylococcaceae.